GUAUUUUGACUAUACGAAGGUAUUGAAAUAAGGCUUUAAAUGAGUGCUAAGAGAAUGGUUGAACAAUUAUAGGCUUUCUUUAAUUAAUAAAUUGAAGUUAAUGUUUUUGUGAAGAAGCAGGAAUGAAGAUUAGGGACAAGAAGACCCUAUGAAUUUUAUAAUUAAAAUAUAAAUUAUUUUUUAUAUUUUUUAAUUUUAAUUGGGGCGAUGAGAAAAGAAUAAUUAUCUUUUUUUAAGGAAUUAAUUUGAUCCAUUAAUAGUGAUUAGAUGAUUAAAAUACUCUAGGGAUAACAGCGUAAUAAUUUCGGAUAGUUCAUAUAGAUGGAAUAGUUUGCGACCUCGAUGUUGGAUUAGGAUACUUUUUUGGUGGAGA
RNAcentral lists this ribosomal RNA (373 nucleotides) under Ixodes ovatus complex sp. Group 3. RNAcentral's name for it is "partial 16S ribosomal RNA". Lineage: Eukaryota; Metazoa; Arthropoda; Arachnida; Ixodida; Ixodidae. The record is from RNAcentral.